Malania oleifera is the source of this 105-nucleotide small nucleolar RNA. The record is from RefSeq and is a predicted model, not a curated record. Lineage: Eukaryota; Viridiplantae; Streptophyta; Magnoliopsida; Santalales; Ximeniaceae.
CAUAAGAGUGUGUGCCUGCUGUAAAUAUGGACAAAGAGCAAUCUGUAGGCUUUAGGUGGGCAUCUGAUGAGUGUAGGGGUGCCCAUAAAGGACCUACAUAUAAUU